CCUUAGAGUUUGAUCCUGGCUCAGGACGAACGCUGGCGGCGUGCUUAACACAUGCAAGUCGAGCGGUAAGGCCCUUCGGGGUACACGAGCGGCGAACGGGUGAGUAACACGUGAGCAACCUGCCCCUGACUCCGGGAUAAGCGGUGGAAACGCCGUCUAAUACCGGAUAUGACACGCCACCUCAUGGUGGUGUGUGGAAAGUUUUUCGGUCAGGGAUGGGCUCGCGGCCUAUCAGCUUGUUGGUGGGGUAAAGGCCUACCAAGGCGAUUACGGGUAGCCGGCCUGAGAGGGCGACCGGCCACACUGGGACUGAGACACGGCCCAGACUCCUGCGGGAGGCAUGCAGUGGGGAAUAUUGCGCAAUGGGCGAAAGCCUGACGCAGCGAGCGCCGCGUGGGGGAUGACGGCCUUCGGGUUGUAAACCUCUUUUACCACCAACGCAGGCUCCC
This 449-nucleotide ribosomal RNA is filed under the name Nocardiopsis sp. 2LB11. RNAcentral's name for it is "bacterial SSU rRNA". It matches the Rfam family "Bacterial small subunit ribosomal RNA", at positions 1 to 456 of the family's 1533-position model. The record is from RNAcentral. Lineage: Bacteria; Bacillati; Actinomycetota; Actinomycetes; Streptosporangiales; Nocardiopsidaceae.